UAAAACGUGGGAGGCGAACGUUAUCCGGAUUUACUGGGCGUAAAGGGAGUGUAGGCGGUUCUUUAAGUCAGGUGUGAAAUUUCUUGACUCAAUCAAGAGAAGUCAUCUGAAACUGAGGGACUUGAGGGCGGCAGAAGGAAACGGAAUUCCCGGUGUAGCGGUGAAAUGCGUUGAUACCGGGAAGAACACCAGUGGCGAAGGCGGUUUCCUAGGCUGUUUCUGACGCUGAGACUCGAAAGCGUGGGGAGCGAAGCGGAUUAGAUACCCGCGUAGUCCACGCCCUAAACGGUGGACACUAGAUAUGGGGAGUAUCGACCCUCCUCGUGUCGAAGCUAACGCUUUAAGUGUCCCGCCUGGGGACUACGACCGCAAGGUUA
RNAcentral lists this ribosomal RNA (377 nucleotides) under uncultured Chloroflexota bacterium. RNAcentral's name for it is "bacterial SSU rRNA". It matches the Rfam family "Bacterial small subunit ribosomal RNA", at positions 521 to 896 of the family's 1533-position model. Lineage: Bacteria; Bacillati; Chloroflexota. The record is from RNAcentral.